Molecule: ribosomal RNA, 499 nt
Filed under: uncultured bacterium
Lineage: Bacteria
Description: bacterial SSU rRNA
Rfam family: Bacterial small subunit ribosomal RNA
Source: RNAcentral
GACGAACGCUGGCGGCGUGCUUAACACAUGCAAGUCGAGCGAGGCCCACCUUUCGGGGUGGUGUCCUAGCGGCGAACGGGUGAGUAACACGUGGGCAACCUGCCCUCAGCUCUGGGAUAACUCCAAGAAAUUGGGGCUAAUACCGGAUAUGACUGCUGACCGCAUGGUCUGGUGGUGGAAAGAUUUUAUCGGGCUGGGGGAUGGGCCCGNGGCCUAUCAGCUUGUUGGUGGGGUAGGGCCUACCAAGGCGACGACGGGUAGCCGGCCUGAGAGGGCGGACGGCCACACUGGAACUGAGACACGGUCCAGACUCCUACGGGAGGCAGCAGUGGGGAAUUGUUCACAAUGGGCGCAAGCCUGAUGACGCAACGCCGCGUGGGGAUGAAGGUCUUCGGAUCGUAAACCCCUGUCGAAUGGGACGAAAGACCCGGGAGCUAAUCAUCCUGGAGUGACGGUACCGUUAAGGAAGCACGGCUAACUCUGUGCCAGCAGCCGCCGU